CUUACUGCCAGGCCGUUUAGUGAAACGUGCAGGAGGCCACCCUGUGUGGACCACGUCCGCUGGUCUCCUCGCCCUCUGUCAGCUCAGCCUGCCGGAACGACGCACCAGAGGCCAGGGGUUUAACGGACAGAAGUCUGCUCUCACAGUCUUGAAGCUUCGGCAGGGUUGGCUUCUUCUGAGGCCUGUCAUCUCCCGAAAAGCAGUGUCACAUGGUCUUCCUUCUGGACAUGUCUGUGUCCGAAUUUCCUCUUUGUAUAAGGACACCAGUCGUAUUAGGUUAGGGCUCACCCUGAUGACCUGACUUUAACGUCAGAGGCUACGUGAAGUCGUGAAGGAGCAGAUGUGUUUGAGUAGCAAAGGUCUGGCCUGAAAGGCAGCUCCUGCACACGGCACGGCAUUGUGGCGGACAGGCCCCUUUCUCUCUCCCAUCCUUUCGUGUCCGUAAUUGUAAAAUGGAAUGGAAGCCUCAAACAUUUUGUUAUGAGGGAUUGAUUAAGUUACAUUAAAUGAGACAGCA
Molecule: long non-coding RNA, 517 nt
Filed under: Equus caballus (horse)
Lineage: Eukaryota; Metazoa; Chordata; Mammalia; Perissodactyla; Equidae
Description: lncRNA (ENSECAG00000058071.1)
Source: RNAcentral